This 135-nucleotide non-coding RNA is filed under the name Burkholderia sp. Its description in RNAcentral is "SAH sequence". It matches the Rfam family "SAH (S-adenosyl-L-homocysteine) riboswitch aptamer". Lineage: Bacteria; Pseudomonadati; Pseudomonadota; Betaproteobacteria; Burkholderiales; Burkholderiaceae. The record is from RNAcentral.
GUCUUCGAGGAGCGUUGCGACGGGUACCGCGAAUCCGCAUUCGCCGGCCGCCCGCCAGGCUCGAAGGCUUCAAUCGGCAGCAUGGAACGCGCAUCGCGCGAUUCCGAACGCUGCCUCAAACCGCGCUCACGUCAC